UGAGGGAAUAUUUGGGGUCAAUGGACGAAAGUCUGAACCAGCCAUGCCGCGUGAAGGAAUAAGGCCCUAUGGGUCGUAAACUUCUUUGUAUGUGAGCAAUAAGGUCCACGAGUGGUCCGAUGAGAGUAGCAUACGAAUAAGCAUCGGCUAACUCCGUGCCAGCAGCCGCGGUAAUACGGAGGAUGCAAGCGUUAUCCGGAUUCAUUGGGUUUAAAGGGUGCGUAGGCGGCUUGGUAAGUCAGCGGUGAAAUUCCAGUGCUCAACAUUGGCCGUGCCGUUGAUACUGCUGGGCUUGAAUGCGGAUGCCGUGGGAGGAAUGUGUGGUGUAGCGGUGAAAUGCAUAGAUAUCACACAGAACACCGAUUGCGAAG
RNAcentral lists this ribosomal RNA (371 nucleotides) under uncultured bacterium. RNAcentral describes it as "bacterial SSU rRNA". It matches the Rfam family "Bacterial small subunit ribosomal RNA", at positions 354 to 720 of the family's 1533-position model. The record is from RNAcentral.